Molecule: long non-coding RNA, 435 nt
Filed under: Gossypium barbadense (sea-island cotton)
Lineage: Eukaryota; Viridiplantae; Streptophyta; Magnoliopsida; Malvales; Malvaceae
Description: long non-coding RNA (GBAR_LNC018812)
Source: RNAcentral
AGCAACACAAACCCUAGUCGCCAUACACCCUAUUGGCAUUGUGAUUGGAGGAGAAGAGUAAGAGGGCGACUAAGAUGAUCAAGGCUAGUUAACCAUAUCAUCAACAACAUGCACUUCUCCAGUAAAGAGAACAUGUGGCAAGACCUUAAAAGUGAAAGCAAUGUUAGAGUCAUUGUGGAAACCAACCGCAACCAUCAAAGGAAGAUCAACCGCAACCAUCAAAGGAAGAUCAACCGCCAGACAAAACCGAGUCAGUGCGAUGAGUCCAAACCCAAUGAGAUUCAACCUGUCGAAAAGCAGGUGAAAAUGGCAUCUUACUCAUGUACAAGAAGGCUAAGCUUAGGAGAGAACCAAAAAUAAAAAUAAAAAAAUAGCAAGAAAGCUAAAGAGAAGAGCCAUGCUCCAACCAAAGUGAAGCUUAUGCAGUGGUAGGUG